RNAcentral lists this ribosomal RNA (459 nucleotides) under uncultured Bacteroidales bacterium. RNAcentral's name for it is "bacterial SSU rRNA". It matches the Rfam family "Bacterial small subunit ribosomal RNA", at positions 338 to 795 of the family's 1533-position model. The record is from RNAcentral. Lineage: Bacteria; Pseudomonadati; Bacteroidota; Bacteroidia; Bacteroidales.
CCUACGGGAGGCAGCAGUGAGGAAUAUUGGUCAAUGGGCGCAAGCCUGAACCAGCCAUGUAGCGUGAAGGAUGACAGUUUUUUUGAUUGUAAACUUCUUUUCUGUGCGAUUAAAGUGUGGCAUUUAUGCCAUAUUGCAGUUAUCUCAGGAAUAAGCAUCGGCUAACUCCGUGCCAGCAGCCGCGGUAAUACGGAGGAUGCGAGCGUUAUCCGGAUUUAUUGGGUUUAAAGGGAGCGUAGAUGGUUUUUUAAGUCAGCUGUCAAAUGUAUGGGCUCAACCCUUAUUAUCAGUUGAAACUGUAAGACUUGAGUGCGGUGUGGGUACAUGGAAUUCGUGGUGUAGCGGUGAAAUGCAUAGAUAUCACGAAGAACUCCGAAAGCGUAGGCAUUGUACCAUAGCGCCACUGACAUUGAUGCUCGAAGGUGCGGGAAUCAAACAGGAUUAGAUACCCGGGUAGUC